UAUAAUUUCUUAGUCACCGGAUCGUCUUAAGGUUCGUUCAACACUAUUUAUAAUGUAUUUCAAUAACAAAAAAUUUACCAGUUCUGUACGAAUUUUGAUACGAUUCGACAGCUAAAAACUUAUAAGCACGUUGAUAUCCUGUGCUUUUAAAAGCAUAAGAGCUCAACUAAACACUAUUUAUAUAUAUAUUAUUAAAAGUAUAGCAGCCUCACUAACAAUAACACAUAUAAGGCUAAAUUAUAGAAAAUUUCUUUAUAAAUAUCUGUUUUUUACCCCCUCAAAAAUCUAUAUUUUCUCCCUCAAUAUUUUAAGUUAUUUAAUUUAGCCCUCCUUUAUCAGAGUUUCAUCACCAUUCCAUCUAUUUCUUAUAAUUUAUACCAAAAAUAUCCUGCAAAAUGAUAGAAAUAUACUAAAAAAUUAUUUUUUCUUAUAAAAAAUGGCAAUUUGGUUAUUUUGCCAUCUCCAUUAAUGUGUAUCCUCCUAAAAAUAUUUCUGAAAUUUUAAGGAAGCAAUAUGUAGGUUUUUUAAAGUUAUAAAGAAAAAGUGAAAAAGGGGUAUUUAUAAAGAAGUUAAUUUUCUAUAUUUUAG
Molecule: long non-coding RNA, 588 nt
Filed under: Ananas comosus (pineapple)
Lineage: Eukaryota; Viridiplantae; Streptophyta; Magnoliopsida; Poales; Bromeliaceae
Description: long non-coding RNA (ACOM_LNC009469)
Source: RNAcentral